RNAcentral lists this ribosomal RNA (639 nucleotides) under uncultured bacterium. RNAcentral describes it as "bacterial SSU rRNA". It matches the Rfam family "Bacterial small subunit ribosomal RNA", at positions 8 to 665 of the family's 1533-position model. The record is from RNAcentral.
AGGGUUUGAUCAUGGCUCAGGACGAACGCUGGCGGCAUGCCUAACACAUGCAAGUCGAACGAGAAAGUUCCUUCGGGAGCAAUUAAAGUGGCGCACGGGUGAGUAACGCGUAGACAAUCUGCCCUUCAGUCUGGGACAACUUUUCGAAAGGAGAGCUAAUACCGGAUAACAAUGUUUAACAUAAGUUAAGUAUUUGAAAGCUUUAUGUGCUGAAGGAGGGGUCUGCGUCCCAUUAGCUAGUUGGUAGGGUAAAGGCUUACCAAGGCAACGAUGGGUAGCGGGUUUGAGAGGACGAUCCGCCACACUGGAACUGAGACACGGUCCAGACUCCUACGGGAGGCAGCAGUGGGGAAUAUUGCACAAUGGAGGCAACUCUGAUGCAGCAAUGUCGCGUGAGUGAAGAAGGCCCUUGGGUCGUAAAGCUCUUUUAUGGGGGAAGAUGAUGACGGUACCCCAGGAAUAAGCACCGGCUAACUAUGUGCCAGCAGCCGCGGUAAUACAUAGGGUGCGAGCGUUGUUCGGAAUUACUGGGCGUAAAGGGCGCGCAGGCGGAAUAGUAAGUCGGAGGUGAAAGCCCGGGGCUCAACCCCGGAGGGUCUUUCGAAACUGCUAAUCUAGAGAGGGUCAGGGGCCGGCAGA